This 253-nucleotide ribosomal RNA is filed under the name uncultured bacterium. RNAcentral describes it as "partial 16S ribosomal RNA". It matches the Rfam family "Bacterial small subunit ribosomal RNA", at positions 524 to 776 of the family's 1533-position model. The record is from RNAcentral.
GACGAACCGUGCGAACGUUGUUCGGAAUCACUGGGCUUAAAGGGCGCGUAGGCGGGCCGCCAAGUCCGCGGUGAAAUCCCCCGGCUCAACCGGGGAACUGCCGCGGAUACUGGAGGUCUCGAGGGAGGUAGGGGCAUGCGGAACUGCGGGUGGAGCGGUGAAAUGCGUAGAUAUCUGGAGGAACACCGGUGGCGAAGGCGGCGUUCUGGACUGCAACUGACACUGAAAAACGAAAGCCAGGGGAGCAAACGGG